RNAcentral lists this ribosomal RNA (726 nucleotides) under uncultured fungus. RNAcentral's name for it is "SSU rRNA". It matches the Rfam family "Eukaryotic small subunit ribosomal RNA", at positions 331 to 1061 of the family's 1831-position model. Lineage: Eukaryota; Fungi. The record is from RNAcentral.
GGAUAGAGGCCUACCAUGGUGGUAACGGGUAACGGGGUGUUAGGGCACGACACCGGAGAGGGAGCCUGAGAAACGGCUACCACAUCCAAGGAUGGCAGCAGGCGCGCAAAUUACCCAAUCCCGACACGGGGAGGUAGUGACAAUAAAUAACAAUACGGGGUUCUUUAGGAUCUCGUAAUUGGAAUGAGUACAAUUUAAAUCUCUUAACGAGGAACAAUUGGAGGGCAAGUCUGGUGCCAGCAGCCGCGGUAAUUCCAGCUCCAAUAGCGUAUAUUAAAGUUGUUGCAGUUAAAAAGCUCGUAGUUGAAUUUCGGGGUUAGUAGGUUGGUCAUGCCUCUGGUAUGUACUGGUCUCACUGAUUCCUCCUUCCUUAUGAACCGUAAUGCCAUUAAUUUGGUGUUGCGGGGAAUUUGGACUGUUACUUUGAAAAAAUUAGAGUGUUUAAAGCAAGCUAACGCUUGAAUACAUUAGCAUGGAAUAAUGAAAUAGGACGUUCGAUCUUAUUUUGUUGGUUUCUAGGAUUGACGUAAUGAUUAAUAGGGAUAGUUGGGGGCAUUAGUAUUCAAUUGUCAGAGGUGAAAUUCUUGGAUUUAUUGAAGACUAACUACUGCGAAAGCAUUUGCCAAGGAUGUUUUCAUUAAUCAAGAACGAAAGUUAGGGGAUCGAAGACGAUCAGAUACCGUCGUAGUCUUAACCAUAAACUAUGCCGACUAGGGAUCGGAUGAU